RNAcentral lists this long non-coding RNA (782 nucleotides) under Heterocephalus glaber (naked mole-rat). Its description in RNAcentral is "lncRNA (ENSHGLG00000044455.1)". Lineage: Eukaryota; Metazoa; Chordata; Mammalia; Rodentia; Bathyergidae. The record is from RNAcentral.
GCUACGGCGGCCCGCCUGGGUCUCGCUGCCUCCUGCGUUCCCCUACAGGGCGGCGUGGGGCGUGGCAGGCGCCCUGCAGCUCCGAGACUUACCCUUGGUACUCUUCCCGGCAGCUCAGUGGCAGGACCAGAUACCCUGAUCCUGCCUCUAUUCCAGCCGGAUGUAUAGGACUUCCUGGCUACUCCACGCCUGCUUCUCUGACUUUUUGGCGAUCCCGUCGGUGAGAGCAAUCUUUGAGUUCCAAGGGUCACAGACACAACAGCAUCGCUCAUUUUCAGCCACGCUGGGCUUCCCACCUGCCGCGCUGGACUCUAAAUUCCGUUCCUAGACGCAGGAAAUUGCUGUCCAGGACCAUGCCCUCGACUACCCCGGGGAGGAUUCUCUCUUGGGAAAAAAGCUGCCAAAGGAAACCUGCAGGGUGAAAGAAGUUUGGAGUCUUAGGGAAAGGAACCCACCUUGCAGGAGAGAGAAGGUGCAUGGGGGAGAGAGGAAAAUACAAGAAGCUGUUUGCAAGAGGACAUGCAAACGUGUUUUAAGGCCACAAACUGGUUUGUUAAGUUGCAUUGUUUUAUUCAAGUAAAAAGCCCUUCGAAGGUUCUGAUGCCUCUGCUCAGGCCAGAUAAACAUCAAGUACCAUCUUCUGACCCUGACAGUGGGAGACAGGAGUGGCCACAAAGUUUGGAAAUAUAGAUGACUCUUUGCUGUGAUUUUCCACGUUAACCAACGAUCAAUUAGUGCCUGCACUUGACUGGGAAGGAAGGUCACCCUGAGACCAUCACCAC